GAAAUAUUUUAAAAAAAUAAGCUUCUAACUUAAUUUUAAGCAUAAUGUUUGUAUUUCU
RNAcentral lists this transfer RNA (58 nucleotides) under Penthe kochi. RNAcentral describes it as "tRNA-Ser". The record is from RNAcentral. Lineage: Eukaryota; Metazoa; Arthropoda; Insecta; Coleoptera; Tetratomidae.